This 710-nucleotide ribosomal RNA is filed under the name uncultured bacterium. RNAcentral describes it as "bacterial SSU rRNA". It matches the Rfam family "Bacterial small subunit ribosomal RNA", at positions 94 to 823 of the family's 1533-position model. The record is from RNAcentral.
AGCGGCGGACGGGUGAGUAACGCGUGGGUAACCUGCCUCAUACACAUGGAUAACAUACCGAAAGGUAUGCUAAUACAAGAUGAUAUAAGAAAUUCGCAUGGAUUUCUUAUCAAAGCUACGGCGGUAUGAGAUGGACCCGCGUCUGAUUAGCUAGUUGGUAAGGUAACGGCUUACCAAGGCGACGAUCAGUAGCCGACCUGAGAGGGUGAUUGGCCACAUUGGAACUGAGACACGGUCCAAACUCCUACGGGAGGCAGCAGUGGGGAAUAUUGCACAAUGGGCGAAAGCCUGAUGCAGCAACGCCGCGUGAGCGAUGAAGGCCUUCGGGUCGUAAAGCUCUGUCCUCAAGGAAGAUAAUGACGGUACUUGAGGAGGAGGCCCCGGCUAACUACGUGCCAGCAGCCGCGGUAAUACGUAGGGGGCUAGCGUUAUCCGGAUUUACUGGGCGUAAAGGGUGCGUAGGUGGUUUCUUAAGUCAGGAGUGAAAGGCUACGGCUCAACCGUAGUAAGCUCUUGAAACUGGGAAACUUGAGUGCAGGAGAGGAAAGUGGAAUUCCUAGUGUAGCGGUGAAAUGCGUAGAUAUUAGGAGGAACACCAGUAGCGAAGGCGGCUUUCUGGGCUGUAACUGACACUGAGGCACGAAAGCGUGGGGAGCAAACAGGAUUAGAUACCCUGGUAGUCCACGCCGUAAACGAUGAGUACUAGGUGU